This 313-nucleotide long non-coding RNA is filed under the name Gossypium barbadense (sea-island cotton). Its description in RNAcentral is "long non-coding RNA (GBAR_LNC008379)". The record is from RNAcentral. Lineage: Eukaryota; Viridiplantae; Streptophyta; Magnoliopsida; Malvales; Malvaceae.
UUGAUGGUGAUGGGCAGAUCAACUACGAGGAGUUCGUCAAAGUCAUGAUGGCCAAGUAAAGGACCUCUCCAACUAUAACCAGGAUUAAAAAAUGGGGUUUAAAAAAAAAGGAAGAAAGUAACAGGGCAGAUAAGUUUGCUAAAAUAUCUAUUAAUGAAUAGGACAUCAAUGUUUUUAAGUUACAAGCUUUUGUUGGAUGGUUCUUUGUUUCAUGUUUGCAUUUUUUUGUGGACCGGACCUUAGUAUUAUGCUUGUUUGCUCUGCUUUUUUGUUCAGUAGUGCUGGGUUGUUAGCGUCAAUAUUUUUAUGCUUU